This 465-nucleotide ribosomal RNA is filed under the name uncultured bacterium. RNAcentral's name for it is "bacterial SSU rRNA". It matches the Rfam family "Bacterial small subunit ribosomal RNA", at positions 338 to 795 of the family's 1533-position model. The record is from RNAcentral.
CCUACGGGGGGCACCAGUGGGGAAUAUUGCACAAUAGGCGCAAGCCUGAUGCGGCCAUGCCGCGUGUAUGAAGAAGGCCUUAGGGUUGUAAAGUACUUUCAGUUGGGAGGAAGGCGUUGAUGCUAAUAUCAUCAACGAUUGACGUUACCAACAGAAGAAGCACCGGCUAACUCCGUGCCAGCAGCCGCGGUAAUACGGAGGGUGCAAGCGUUAAUCGGAAUUACUGGGCGUAAAGCGCACGCAGGCGGUUGAUUAAGUUAGAUGUGAAAUCCCCGGGCUUAACCUGGGAAUGGCAUCUAAGACUGGUCAGCUAGAGUCUUGUAGAGGGGGGUAGAAUUCCAGGUGUAGCGGUGAAAUGCGUAGGGAUCUGGAGGAAUACCGGUGGCGAAGGCGGCCCCCUGGACAAAGACUGACGCUCAGGUGCGAAAGCGUGGGGAGCAAUCAGGAUUAGAUACCCUUGUAGUC